RNAcentral lists this ribosomal RNA (274 nucleotides) under uncultured bacterium. Its description in RNAcentral is "partial 16S ribosomal RNA". It matches the Rfam family "Bacterial small subunit ribosomal RNA", at positions 523 to 796 of the family's 1533-position model. The record is from RNAcentral.
AUACGGAGGGUGCAAGCGUUACUCGGAAUCACUGGGCGUAAAGCGCGCGCAGGCGGGCUGAUAAGUUGGAUGUGAAAGCCUACGGCUCAACCGUAGAACUGCAUCCAAAACUGUCAGUCUAGAGUCUGCGAGGGGAAGAUGGAAUUAGUUGUGUAGGGGUAAAAUCCGUAGAGAUAACUAGGAAUACCAAAAGCGAAGGCGAUCUUCUGGAACAGUACUGACGCUGAGGCGCGAAAGCGUGGGGAGCAAACAGGAUUAGAAACCCCAGUAGUCC